GUCUGCGGCCAUGCCAACCUGAACAAGCCUGAUCCCAUUUGAUCUCAGAAGCUAAGCAGGGUCAGGCCUGGUUAGUACUUGGAUGGGAGUCCACCUAGGAAGUCCAGGUGCUGUUGGUG
RNAcentral lists this ribosomal RNA (119 nucleotides) under Pteropus alecto (black flying fox). The record is from RNAcentral. Lineage: Eukaryota; Metazoa; Chordata; Mammalia; Chiroptera; Pteropodidae.